This 374-nucleotide ribosomal RNA is filed under the name uncultured organism. Its description in RNAcentral is "partial 16S ribosomal RNA". It matches the Rfam family "Bacterial small subunit ribosomal RNA", at positions 526 to 896 of the family's 1533-position model. The record is from RNAcentral.
GGAGGGGAGCUAGCGUUGUUCGGAAUUACUGGGCGUAAAGCGUGCGUAGGGCGGUUCUGUAAGUUAGGGAGUGAAAUCCCCGGGGCUCAACCUGGGAACUGCUCUUAAGACUGCAGAGCUUGAGGACGAGAGAGGAAAGUGGAAUUCCAAGUGUAGAGGUGAAAUUCGUAGAUAUUUGGAAGAACACCAGUGGCGAAGGCGACUUUCUGGCUCGUAACUGACGCUGAGGUACGAAAGUGUGGGGAGCAAACAGGAUUAGAUACCCUGGUAGUCCACACCGUAAACGAUGAGUGCUAGACGUUUGUAGGUUUACCUAUGUGUGUCGCAGCUAACGCAUUAAGCACUCCGCCUGGGGAGUACGGUCGCAAAGAUUA